UUGAUCUCAAAUCAGGUAGGACUACCCGCUGAACUUAAGCAUAUCAAUAAGCGGAGGAAAAGAAACUAACAAGGAUUCCCCUAGUAACUGCGAGUGAAGCGGGAAGAGCUCAAAUUUAAAAUCUGGCGUGCCUCCGGUCGUCCGAGUUGUAGUCUGGAGAAGUGUUUUCCGUGUUGGACCGUGUAUAAGUCUCUUGGAACAGGGCGUCAUAGAGGGUGAGAAUCCCGUCUUUGACACGGACUACCAAUGCUUUGUGAUGCGCUCUCAAAGAGUCGAGUUGUUUGGGAAUGCAGCUCAAAAUGGGUGGUAAAUUCCAUCUAAAGCUAAAUAUAGGCGAGAGACCGAUAGCGAACAAGUACCGUGAGGGAAAGAUGAAAA
Molecule: ribosomal RNA, 378 nt
Filed under: uncultured Thelephoraceae
Lineage: Eukaryota; Fungi; Basidiomycota; Agaricomycetes; Thelephorales; Thelephoraceae
Description: eukaryotic LSU rRNA
Rfam family: Eukaryotic large subunit ribosomal RNA
Source: RNAcentral